This 1248-nucleotide ribosomal RNA is filed under the name Pseudomonas fluorescens. Its description in RNAcentral is "partial 23S ribosomal RNA". It matches the Rfam family "Bacterial large subunit ribosomal RNA", at positions 1586 to 2818 of the family's 2925-position model. Lineage: Bacteria; Pseudomonadati; Pseudomonadota; Gammaproteobacteria; Pseudomonadales; Pseudomonadaceae. The record is from RNAcentral.
CGAAGUGGUUGAUGCCAUGCUUCCAAGAAAAGCUUCUAAGCUUCAGGUAACCAGGAACCGUACCCCAAACCGACACAGGUGGUUGGGUAGAGAAUACCAAGGCGCUUGAGAGAACUCGGGUGAAGGAACUAGGCAAAAUGGCACCGUAACUUCGGGAGAAGGUGCGCCGGUGAGGGUGAAGGACUUGCUCCGUAAGCUCAUGCCGGUCGAAGAUACCAGGCCGCUGCGACUGUUUAUUAAAAACACAGCACUCUGCAAACACGAAAGUGGACGUAUAGGGUGUGACGCCUGCCCGGUGCCGGAAGGUUAAUUGAUGGGGUUAGCUAACGCGAAGCUCUUGAUCGAAGCCCCGGUAAACGGCGGCCGUAACUAUAACGGUCCUAAGGUAGCGAAAUUCCUUGUCGGGUAAGUUCCGACCUGCACGAAUGGCGUAACGAUGGCGGCGCUGUCUCCACCCGAGACUCAGUGAAAUUGAAAUCGCUGUGAAGAUGCAGUGUAUCCGCGGCUAGACGGAAAGACCCCGUGAACCUUUACUAUAGCUUUGCACUGGACUUUGAAUUUGCUUGUGUAGGAUAGGUGGGAGGCUUUGAAGCGUGGACGCCAGUUCGCGUGGAGCCAUCCUUGAAAUACCACCCUGGCAACUUUGAGGUUCUAACUCAGGUCCGUUAUCCGGAUCGAGGACAGUGUAUGGUGGGUAGUUUGACUGGGGCGGUCUCCUCCUAAAGAGUAACGGAGGAGUACGAAGGUGCGCUCAGACCGGUCGGAAAUCGGUCGUAGAGUAUAAAGGCAAAAGCGCGCUUGACUGCGAGACAGACACGUCGAGCAGGUACGAAAGUAGGUCUUAGUGAUCCGGUGGUUCUGUAUGGAAGGGCCAUCGCUCAACGGAUAAAAGGUACUCCGGGGAUAACAGGCUGAUACCGCCCAAGAGUUCAUAUCGACGGCGGUGUUUGGCACCUCGAUGUCGGCUCAUCACAUCCUGGGGCUGAAGCCGGUCCCAAGGGUAUGGCUGUUCGCCAUUUAAAGUGGUACGCGAGCUGGGUUUAGAACGUCGUGAGACAGUUCGGUCCCUAUCUGCCGUGGACGUUUGAGAUUUGAGAGGGGCUGCUCCUAGUACGAGAGGACCGGAGUGGACGAACCUCUGGUGUUCCGGUUGUCACGCCAGUGGCAUUGCCGGGUAGCUAUGUUCGGAAUAGAUAACCGCUGAAAGCAUCUAAGCGGGAAACUAGCCUCAAGAUGAGAUCUCACUGG